UACAGAGGAUGAAGAGUAGGUAGCCCUGUAAGCCUGACUAGUUACUGGCGACAUGAGGACCGCUGUGCAGUGGACCAAGUGCUGGCUUCUCCUCAUCACAAUAAGUAAUAUCUACAGUACAGGAGACGUCGCUCACAAUGUUAUAGGUACAACGGUGGCCUUUGAGGGUCUAGGACCUGGAAACAACUCGAUAGAAAUCGAAGAAAACAACUACAUCAACUUAACAGUUCAUAUAAACAACCAAAACGUCUUCAGCAUCAAGAUAUCACAUCAAUGGAAUAAUUUAUCUGUGGACCUUUGUAAGUUUAUUCUAAAGGCAGUGUGUGAAGUAUCGGACUCAUCAAACGGUACACCACAUUGCCAGUGUAUAAACAACAACACAGUUCAAUUCUUGAAGAAGGCCAUUAGUUCUGACAGCGGAUUAUACACCUGGAAAUGGCGGGAUGGCAGGACACCAGAUAAACAAAGACACAUCUUUAUUAAAGUUACGAAAGCUCCAGACAUUCCACAUACAGGUAACAACUCUGAUGAUGCAGCGUCGGGUGCAACAGCCGCUACAACUGUGUGUGUCCUCUUGGCCGUCGUUGUUACGGCAACGGCUGGUGCGGUGUUGUGGAUGAGGAAUAAAGCUAAAUGUAGUAUAGUUUAAAUAUACAGAGGAUGAAGACCUGGUAGCCCUGUAAGCCUGACCUGACUAUUUACUAGCGACAUGGGGACCGAUGUACAGUGGGCCAAGUGCUGGCUUCUCCUCAUCACGAUAAGGAAUAUCAACAGUACAGGAGACAUAGCCCAGAAUGUCAUGGGUACACAGGUAGAGUUUGGCGGUAUAGGACCUGGAGACAGAUCCACAGAAAUCGAAGAAAACAACUAUAUCAACUUAACAGUUCACAUAAACGACCAAAACGUCUUCAUCAUCAAGAUAUCGCAUCAACAGAAUAAUUUAUCUGUGGACAUUUGUAAGUUUAUUCUAAAGAUAGCCUGUAAGGAUGCGGAGUCAUCAAUUGCUUCAUCAUAUUGUUACUGUUUAAGCAACCACACAGUUCAGUUCUUAAAGAAGGCCAGUAGUUCUGACAGCGGAUUAUACACCUGGAGAUGGCGUGACGGCAAGACACUAGACAAGCAAAGAGACAUCUUUAUUAAUGUGAAAAAAGCCAUUCCACAUACAGGUAACCGAUCCGAUGAUACAGCGUCGGCAGCAACAACCUCUACAAUCGUGUGUGUCAUUUUAAUCGUCGUCGCUACGGUAACGGCGGGUGUGGUGUUCUGGAUAAGGGAUAAUGAUAAGUGUAGUAAAGGUAAGAUAACUGUAGUUUUUUACUUAAAAAUUGCCUGGGUUUGUGACAAAAGAGGCUGAACAUAUGACAAUAGCGUGCUGUGCUUUUUUCUUCCGGACUGGGCAAGGAAGGAAUAUAUUAAGUACAUGACAAGGGGAGAUUGAAUAAAAAUGUAAACUGAAAAGUAUAAUAUCUGUUAGAGCCGAAAGAUGAAUGUACCAUACAAUUCAAUUCCUAAUACCUGUAAAAUGGCAUUAAAACCCCCUUUGUCCGCCUUUAUUCACUUUCGCGAUACUUGUAGUAAAAAUCCGGUGAAAAUCUCACAAGCACAGAUGUAGAUAAUGCAAUAAAAAGUAAACUAGAAUUGUGUCUCAUAAUUUUAAACCAAUCUGUGUUACUGGCCAGCAUAUAAGGUUUAUUUUGGAUAAACUUUAAGAAAAGGACCGCAAUUUUUCAACACUCGUAGAUCGUUGAUUUUUAGUUGAUUAGUCAACGCGAUUUUCGCUGGUGGAAGUUGGACUUUAAUUUGAAGAAAUACACCUCUACCUCGUCCUAUUUUGAGUCGAAGAGGGACUGCACUGGAUUUUGCCACUGGAAUAAAAGCAACAGUAAGACUGGUAUGGCAUAUCCGUGGUAUCACAAGGUAAGCAAUUAACUCACAUGUACUGAGAACUAAUCAUCAACAUAAAAAAGCACUACAUUUACUUCUUAGUACACUGACAACCUUAGAUAUAUUAACACUCUUCGUAUUAUCAUCUCACUCCAUCUUUUUCGCUCUUUAUUUUUGAUAGCUUUUAGCUGAACUAUUGUAUUCAUUUUUCGAGCUGCUACUUUCUCCAAAAGUAUUUAGCCCGCUGCUAAGCGAGGAAAUAAAAUCCGCUCUAUAAGUGUUUCGUCGCCGUCGUCGUCCUCAUCACCAGUAUCAUCAUCUUCAGAUCAUUCUGGACCCAAGUGGUCGUUAUAUAAUUUUCCUCAUACAAUUGACAUGCAAAUGGACUAGGAAUCUUAUAUUUUUUCAUAUUGCAUACAUUAUCCAUAAGAUUUCACAGUUUCCAUUUCCGUCACAACUUGAACUUCUACUCUAGUAAUAUUUUCCUAUUAAGCAACAAGAACCUUAAUGUUGCAUGUUCUCCAGUAAAUGUCCUCAAUAAGAAUCCACCAACAAAAGAACCCCCCCCCAAAAAAAAAAAAGAAAAAAACGAAAAAUGAUAUCUUGAGUUGUGUUUGCUUUAAGGGUCCAAGUAAAAGGUCAGUACGCACGCAAGUACAUAUCAAAUCUGAUUCAAAAGCUUUAAAAAUGUUUGCUUGGUUACAACAUGUUGCGUGUCUAACAUGUACCUGUGUUACAGUAGAGGCCAUUGACUUCCCUUUCGUGUAUGUCCCAGAGCAACCGUGGAUAACUUCUUAAAAGAGGAUAGAGACUUGGUAGCCUGUAAGCCUGACCUAAUUACUGACAACAUGGGGACCGCUGUGCAGUUGGCCAAGUCCUGGCUUCUUCUCACCAUAAUAAGCAAUAUCUACAGUACAGGAGACGAAGCUCACAAUCUCAUAGGUACACAGGUUGAGUUUGACGGUCUAGGACCUGGGGACAACUCGACAGAAAUCGAAGAAAACGACUACAUCAACUUUACAGUUCACAUAAACCACCAAACCGUCUUCAACAUCAAGAUAUCGCAUCAACAUAAUAAUAGAACUGUGGACCUUUGUAAGUUUGUUCUAAAUACAGCCUGUGAAGCGUCGGACUCAUCAAAUGCUACAUCAUAUUGCCAGUGUUUAAACAACAACACAGUUCAGUUCUUGAAGAAGGCCAGUAGUUCUGACAGCGGAUUAUACACCUGGACAUGGCGGGAUGGGAAGACGACAAACAAUCAAAGAGACAUCUUUGUUAAUGUUAAAGAAGGUAGGUCAUUAACUAAGUAAGCAGGCAUAGUUUAUUUGCACAGGUUUUGUAGAAUAUUAUUUUGUAGUGCAUAUUACAUGGGACAUAUGCAUUUCAAAAAGUGUUAAACUAUUCUCAAAACCCCGGUGU
Molecule: long non-coding RNA, 3303 nt
Filed under: Pomacea canaliculata
Lineage: Eukaryota; Metazoa; Mollusca; Gastropoda; Architaenioglossa; Ampullariidae
Description: uncharacterized LOC112569251, transcript variant X1
Source: RNAcentral